GACGAACGCUGGCGGCGUGCUUAACACAUGCAAGUCGAACGGAAAGGCCCUGCUUUUGUGGGGUGCUCGAGUGGCGAACGGGUGAGUAACACGUGAGUAACCUGCCCUUGACUUUGGGAUAACUUCAGGAAACUGGGGCUAAUACCGGAUAGGAGCUCCUGCUGCAUGGUGGGGGUUGGAAAGUUUAGGCGGAUGGGGAUGGACUCGCGGCUUAUCAGCUUGUUGGUGGGGGAGUGGCUUACCAAGGCUUUGACGGGUAGCCGGCCUGAGAGGGUGACCGGCCACAUUGGGACUGAGAGAGGGCCCAGACUCCUACGGGAGGCAGCAGGGGGGAAUAUGGCACAAUGGGCGGAAGCCUGAUGCAGCAACGCCGCGUGCGGGAUGACGGCCUUCGGGGUGUAAACCGCUUUCGCCUGUGACGAAGCGUGAGUGACGGUAAUGGGUAAAGAAGCACCGGCUAACUACGUG
Molecule: ribosomal RNA, 468 nt
Filed under: uncultured bacterium
Lineage: Bacteria
Description: partial 16S ribosomal RNA
Rfam family: Bacterial small subunit ribosomal RNA
Source: RNAcentral